GCUGUUCCUGGCUAGCUAAAAAGGGGAAGGAGGACACGGCGAGCGCACCCGCCGAGACUUCCGCGAUUGGGAUCGGGGCACUCACGGAGGGAGGGGCUCGAGGGGACCGACAGCUGCGGCCGCCGCCACCGCCGCGGGCCGGCAGCAUCCGCCGCCCGCUUCAGCCACGCGGGGCUGCCCGGAGGGUGCGCGCCCCCUCACCGCAGUACGCCCGCUGCGCCACCAGAGAGGCCACACCUCCGCCCACCGCGCCGCCCGCCACUCCACGCGUGUCCCUCCGCCUCGUGCCGGCGCCCUAACACCUACUCCACGACCACACGCCGCGAAGAGGACUCUCGCGGACCGCCAACAGCCUCCCCCGCCGCGCGGGCCCGUAGCUCCGCCGACUAGAGCCGGUCCACCCGACGUGUUCGCCGCCAGCCGUCGCCCGAGUCUAACGCAGCCGCCGCCGCCCCAGAUAGAAGAGGCAGCUAGUCGCUGCCGCACCCUGUGGGGACCGAGCCGGCACUUCUACCUAAAGAGGCCGAUCCGUUAGCUGAGGCGUUUAGACAAGGAGCUUGAGCGUGGUCCCUACGUAUUACGGGGACGCGGGCAAGGAUGUCCCUCCGUGUGACCAACUUGGUGACUUUCCCUCGUGUAUUUCGACGUCUCCGUUGUUGAGGUUUCCUUAGUCACACUAACGACAUUAAACUCUUCCGUGACUAUAAUGACUUCUUUAGUAAAGACGUUGUGAGCUAGAACUCAGACGUGAACGAUUGUCUCUACGUGGGUUUUGUGCUAUGAGGACUAACAAACUAACCAUUGUUAGGAGAGCGUCUUUUGAGAUUAAUCUAAGGAAAAUGAAAGGUUUAGAACUGUAAAACGUAAAAUUAAUAAUCGGAUAUACGUGCCAUAGUAUCUUUUAAUAACGAUUACAGAUGUAACCUUUCCUAGGUUUGAUAUUUGUUCAUUAACCACUACAAUAGGUGAUCCCGAAAGAAAGUGUUGAGUGACGGCUACAACAAUUAAAUAGAACGUAGAGGCGGAGGAACCGUAAUAGGAAAAACAUCAAUUCGUACUUGUACUAAAUCUACGAGUAUAAGUCCAUCGUAAGAACCCACUCGAUAACUAAAAACAAAGUCACGCUCUGUUAAAAAAUUAUAAUAAUAAAACGAGGAGUAAAACAGAUCCAUCGUAUCCUAAUAUGGUGGCUAUUAAGAAUAAUCCUAAACGACGUGUUGUUCGUACCACGUGCGUGUACGGACGUAUAAACAGUUAUAAGAUAGUCUUCGUCAAACGACGCGUGAAUUCACAUUGUCUUCCACACGAUGACAAAGGUGUAGAGGAACACGCUUAGUGAUUAUAAAAAAAGGUUCAGAAAAGAAGGAAAAACAUUACUGGGACUUUAUCAAAGUCGUAACCUCAGUCAAAGAAGCAACAGAAGUCACAAGAAUACCGCUUCCUUCAGGGGCCAAACAUAUCCGCUAACACACGUGUACUUAUAAAAAGUAUUAUAUGUUAAUUUAAAAUAUCAUUUGUGAAGAUACUACCACUUCAAAAAAGACCUAGACUGGUUCUACCUGUUACAUUGGACCCUGUUAUGAAACAUAGUAUCCUUUAAAAGGUUCAGAAGUCACAAGAAUAGAAGCUGUAUAAGUCACAAGAAGGGAAGUCCUAGGGACAUUAAAAAAAAGUCGUACUGAAUCGUGUCAAUUGACUUCUACAAGGCAGUAGAUUUGUACGAUUACCGGUUCGUUUAUAAGUCCAUAUGGCCUUUGGAGACAUCGAUAUGUUUAUAUUGAACCAUCGUGUGAAAUGACAUCAUUCUACAAAUAUACGUUUUCAUAAUUUUUGACUAUAUGGUUCUGAUGGCACUCAGUACGUACAGGCACGGAAGGUCCACUACACGGGUUGUAAGAAGACGUGUUCUUACCGAUACCCUCGACUCGCACUUGGUAUAUAUAGUGAAACUAAUUUCAACCCAUUAAACUCCACACGGACGACCAAUACGUUUUCUAUAUAAAACAGAUCGUUAACAAAAGAUAACAACACCAAUUCGAACUUAGUCUAAAACAACAUAUGAUACUUCUCAAUGUCGUUGUACUUCUCUGACCUAAAAGAUGAGAGCCCACAUGAUGUGGGCUCAAUCGUUUUUGAAACUUUUUUCAAAUAGUUUGCUUUAGGUUUUUUAGACUUUAAAACGAUGUAGUUUGAAAUAGUAUACAAACUCCAAGCACAGUUCAAAGUAGCUUUUUAUUGUAGGCUCCUCGAGAGUGGCUUUUUUUGUUUUAGCGACGACUUUCAAAACACGUGACAAACUCGUCACUAAAACAAUAAAAACCACUCUCGAGGAGUCUACAAUAUAAAUCUACUUUAAAACGUUCCUGGAGUGUGUAGACUAUUACAAAAUACAGGGUUUUCAAAUCUAAAAAACCUGUUACAAACUAGUGUAAAAAAGUUAGAAAACGAUUGAGCCCACAUGAUGUGGGCUCUCAUCGGUGAUGAAAGGCGUUGUACUUCGACAGUGUGGUAGAGUGAAACCUACGGACGUCCGACCUCGGCUCAGCGCAAACCAGUGUGUAACCUCGACAAGAACACUUGAACCCACUACUCGCCCACCGUAAACAUGGAUUUCCCAUAGCUCACAGCUUACAAAAAAAAUAGAGGAAACAAUAAGACUAACACGCUAAGUGUAAUAGUUAGUAAGCUGUUAAUAUCAAAACUACAAUAUCAAGGUAGAGUUAGUAAGUAAACUCUAAAUGUAUAUAUACUAAACACGUGUCCUACUGGUUUAUGACAUCUCCUUGAAAAAUUAGCUACUACCCUUUAGUACCACCAAAUACUAGGAACGUUCGCAUACUCUUAUAGAAACGGUGUAGUGUCCUGUUUGUUAAACUUUCUCUCAACAUCACUUUCAACCGAUAGUACUACACUUGAACGUAUAAAAUUAGGUUUGCUGCAUAAACUUAAUACACAAAUCACAGGAAACACUUAUACACAAACGUGACACCAGUAAAAGGAUGAUACAUACCAGAUGUGAACGUUACGUUUCGACAUAUCUUAUCCUGUUCUAGUAAAGGGACGAGGUAAUGAACGUACAGAGGAAAUUAGGAUAAAAUAUAAGAAGAGAUUUUUGUCGUCACGUUUUAUAUGAGGUAG
RNAcentral lists this ribosomal RNA (3138 nucleotides) under Triticum aestivum (bread wheat). RNAcentral's name for it is "partial small subunit ribosomal RNA". The record is from RNAcentral. Lineage: Eukaryota; Viridiplantae; Streptophyta; Magnoliopsida; Poales; Poaceae.